CCCUGGUGGCUUAGUGGUGAAGAAUCUGCCUGCAAUGCAGGAGACUCAGGUUUGAUCCCUGGUUCAGGCA
This 70-nucleotide transfer RNA is filed under the name Bos taurus (domestic cattle). It matches the Rfam family "tRNA". From Rfam's summary of the family: Transfer RNA (tRNA) molecules are approximately 80 nucleotides in length. Their secondary structure includes four short double-helical elements and three loops (D, anti-codon, and T loops). Further hydrogen bonds mediate the characteristic L-shaped molecular structure. tRNAs have two regions of fundamental functional importance: the anti-codon, which is responsible for specific mRNA codon recognition, and the 3' end, to which the tRNAs corresponding amino acid is attached (by aminoacyl-tRNA synthetases). tRNAs cope with the degeneracy of the genetic code in two manners: having more than one tRNA (with a specific anti-codon) for a particular amino acid; and 'wobble' base-pairing, i.e. permitting non-standard base-pairing at the 3rd anti-codon position. The record is from Rfam by way of RNAcentral. RNAcentral also lists the same sequence under 5 other names. Lineage: Eukaryota; Metazoa; Chordata; Mammalia; Artiodactyla; Bovidae.